This 586-nucleotide ribosomal RNA is filed under the name Legionella pneumophila subsp. pneumophila. RNAcentral describes it as "partial 23S ribosomal RNA". It matches the Rfam family "Bacterial large subunit ribosomal RNA", at positions 367 to 952 of the family's 2925-position model. The record is from RNAcentral. Lineage: Bacteria; Pseudomonadati; Pseudomonadota; Gammaproteobacteria; Legionellales; Legionellaceae.
AAAGCCCCGUAUACGAAGGUUUGAUGAGGAACUAGGCACGCGAACAAGUAGGCCGGGACACGUGAAAUCCUGGUUGAAGAUGGGUGGACCAUCAUCCAAGGCUAAAUACUACUUACUGACCGAUAGUGAACCAGUACCGUGAGGGAAAGGUGAAAAGAACCCCGGAGAGGGGAGUGAAAUAGAAUCUGAAACCGUUUGCGUACAAGCAGUGGGAGCAUAGUUUAGGCUGUGUGACUGCGUACCUUUUGUAUAAUGGGUCAGCGAGUUACUUUCAGUGGCGAGGUUAACUGAAUAAGGGAGCCGUAGAGAAAUCGAGUCUGAAUAGGGCGAUAGUCGCUGGGAGUAGACCCGAAACCGGGCGAUCUAGCCAUGUGCAGGAUGAAGGUUGGGUAACACCAACUGGAGGUCCGAACCGGGUAAUGUUGAAAAAUUAUCGGAUGACGUGUGGCUAGGAGUGAAAGGCUAAUCAAGCCCGGAGAUAGCUGGUUCUCCCCGAAAGCUAUUUAGGUAGCGCCUCGUGAAUGAUUACUGGGGGUAGAGCACUGUUUCGGCUAGGGGGCUGUCAUGGCUUACCAAACCGAUGCAA